CGGCCUAUCAGCUUGUUGGUGAGGUAAUGGCUCACCAAGGCGACGACGGGUAGCCGGCCUGAGAGGGUGACCGGCCACACUGGGACUGAGACACGGCCCAGACUCCUACGGGAGGCAGCAGUGGGGAAUAUUGCACAAUGGGCGCAAGCCUGAUGCAGCGACGCCGCGUGAGGGAUGACGGCCUUCGGGUUGUAAACCUCUUUCAGUAGGGAAGAAGCGAAAGUGACGGUACCUGCAGAAGAAGCGCCGGCUAACUACGUGCCAGCAGCCGCGGUAAUACGUAGGGCGCAAGCGUUAUCCGGAAUUAUUGGGCGUAAAGAGCUCGUAGGCGGUUUGUCGCGUCUGCCGUGAAAGUCCGGGGCUCAACUCCGGAUCUGCGGUGGGUACGGGCAGACUAGAGUGAUGUAGGGGAGACUGGAAUUCCUGGUGUAGCGGUGAAAUGCGCAGAUAUCAGGAGGAACACCGAUGGCGAAGGCAGGUCUCUGGGCAUUAACUGACGCUGAGGAGCGAAAGCAUGGGGAGCGAACAGGAUUAGAUACCCUGGUAGUCCAUGCCGUAAACGUUGGGCACUAGGUGUGGGGGACAUUCCACGUUUUCCGCGCCGUAGCUAACGCAUUAAGUGCCCCGCCUGGGGAGUACGGCCGCAAGGCUAAAACUCAAAGGAAUUGACGGGGGCCCGCACAAGCGGCGGAGCAUGCGGAUUAAUUCGAUGCAACGCGAAGAACCUUACCAAGGCUUGACAUGAACCGGAAAGACCUGGAAACAGGUGCCCCGCUUGCGGUCGGUUUACAGGUGGUGCAUGGUUGUCGUCAGCUCGUGUCGUGAGAUGUUGGGUUAAGUCCCGCAACGAGCGCAACCCUCGUUCUAUGUUGCCAGCACGUGAUGGUGGGGACUCAUAGGAGACUGCCGGGGUCAACUCGGAGGAAGGUGGGGACGACGUCAAAUCAUCAUGCCCCUUAUGUCUUGGGCUUCACGCAUGCUACAAUGGCCGGUACAAAGGGUUGCGAUACUGUGAGGUGGAGCUAAUCCCAAAAAGCCGGUCUCAGUUCGGAUUGGGGUCUGCAACUCGACC
This 1072-nucleotide ribosomal RNA is filed under the name Arthrobacter sp. XSW019. RNAcentral's name for it is "bacterial SSU rRNA". It matches the Rfam family "Bacterial small subunit ribosomal RNA", at positions 234 to 1317 of the family's 1533-position model. Lineage: Bacteria; Bacillati; Actinomycetota; Actinomycetes; Micrococcales; Micrococcaceae. The record is from RNAcentral.